GCGAGGAUGGCGAAAUUGGCAGACGCGCAAGAUUCAGAGUCUUGUGAUCGUAAGAUCGUGGGGGUUCAAGUCCCCCUCCUCGCA
This 84-nucleotide transfer RNA is filed under the name Deltaproteobacteria bacterium. Its description in RNAcentral is "tRNA-Leu". It matches the Rfam family "tRNA". From Rfam's summary of the family: Transfer RNA (tRNA) molecules are approximately 80 nucleotides in length. The record is from RNAcentral. Lineage: Bacteria; Pseudomonadati; Myxococcota; Myxococcia.